GCCCGAUUAGCUCAGCUGGUUAGAGCGUCGUACUAAUAUCUUGACUCCUCCAAGAUAUCAAGUCCAUGCGAAGGUCAACAGUUCAAUCCUGUUAUUGGGCA
Molecule: non-coding RNA, 101 nt
Organism: Sordaria brevicollis
Lineage: Eukaryota; Fungi; Ascomycota; Sordariomycetes; Sordariales; Sordariaceae
Source: the annotation of a GenBank genome assembly